GAUGAACGCUGGCGGCGUGCCUAAUACAUGCAAGUCGAGCGAACGGACGAGAAGCUUGCUUUUCUGAUGUUAGCGGCGGACGGGUGAGUAACACGUGGAUAACCUACCUAUAAGACUGGGAUAACUUCGGGAAACCGGAGCUAAUACCGGAUAAUAUUUUGAACCGCAUGGUUCAAAAGUGAAAGACGGUCUUGCUGUCACUUAUAGAUGGAUCCGCGCUGCAUUGGCUAGUUGGUAAGGUAACGGCUUACCAAGGCAACGAUGCAUAGCCGACCUGAGAGGGUGAUCGGCCACACUGGAACUGAGACACGGUCCAGACUCCUACGGGAGGCAGCAGUAGGGAAUCUUCCGCAAAGGGCGAAAGCCUGACGGAGCAACGCCGCGUGAGUGAUGAAGGUCUUCGGAUCGUAAAACUCUGUUAUUAGGGAAGAACAUAUGUGUAAGUAACUGUGCACAUCUUGACGGUACCUAAUCAGAAAGCCACGGCUAACUACGUG
Molecule: ribosomal RNA, 497 nt
Filed under: uncultured bacterium
Lineage: Bacteria
Description: partial 16S ribosomal RNA
Rfam family: Bacterial small subunit ribosomal RNA
Source: RNAcentral